This 566-nucleotide ribosomal RNA is filed under the name uncultured Alphaproteobacteria bacterium. RNAcentral describes it as "bacterial SSU rRNA". It matches the Rfam family "Bacterial small subunit ribosomal RNA", at positions 163 to 763 of the family's 1533-position model. Lineage: Bacteria; Pseudomonadati; Pseudomonadota; Alphaproteobacteria. The record is from RNAcentral.
CUAAUACCGGAUAAUGUCUUCGGACCAAAGAUUUAUCGCCUUUGGAUGGGCCCGCGUAGGAUUAGCUUGUUGGUGGGGUAAUGGCCUACCAAGGCGACGAUCCUUAGCUGGUCUGAGAGGAUGAUCAGCCACACUGGGACUGAGACACGGCCCAGACUCCUACGGGAGGCAGCAGUGGGGAAUAUUGGACAAUGGGCGAAAGCCUGAUCCAGCAAUGCCGCGUGAGUGAUGAAGGCCUUAGGGUUGUAAAGCUCUUUUACCAGGGAUGAUAAUGACAGUACCUGGAGAAUAAGCUCCGGCUAACUCCGUGCCAGCAGCCGCGGUAAUACGGAGGGAGCUAGCGUUGUUCGGAAUUACUGGGCGUAAAGCGCACGUAGGCGGCGAUUCAAGUCAGAGGUGAAAGCCCGGGGCUCAACCCCGGAACUGCCUUUGAAACUAGAUUGCUAGAAUCCUGGAGAGGCGAGUGGAAUUCCGAGUGUAGAGGUGAAAUUCGUAGAUAUUCGGAAGAACACCAGUGGCGAAGGCGACUCGCUGGACAGGUAUUGACGCUGAGGUGCGAAAGCGUG